AUUGAACGCUGGCGGCAGGCCUAACACAUGCAAGUCGAGCGGAUGAAGGGAGCUUGCUCCUGGAUUCAGCGGCGGACGGGUGAGUAAUGCCUAGGAAUCUGCCUGGUAGUGGGGGAUAACGUCCGGAAACGGGCGCUAAUACCGCAUACGUCCUGAGGGAGAAAGUGGGGGAUCUUCGGACCUCACGCUAUCAGAUGAGCCUAGGUCGGAUUAGCUAGUUGGUGGGGUAAAGGCCUACCAAGGCGACGAUCCGUAACUGGUCUGAGAGGAUGAUCAGUCACACUGGAACUGAGACACGGUCCAGACUCCUACGGGAGGCAGCAGUGGGGAAUAUUGGACAAUGGGCGAAAGCCUGACCCAGCAAGGCGGCGUGUGUGAAGAAGGUCUUCGGAUUGUAAAGCACUUUAAGUUGGGAGGAAGGGCAGUAAGUUAAUACCUUGCUGUUUUGACGUUACCAACAGAAUAAGCACCGGCUAACUUCGUG
This 484-nucleotide ribosomal RNA is filed under the name uncultured bacterium. RNAcentral's name for it is "partial 16S ribosomal RNA". It matches the Rfam family "Bacterial small subunit ribosomal RNA", at positions 30 to 507 of the family's 1533-position model. The record is from RNAcentral.